UGACCACCACGAUAAACAGCAAUGAUCCCCAGCCAACUUUAUGCCAGAUACCAUUAACGACGGCUUCGCUGAACGCUGUAUAAACCACCAACAGAAUGGACGUCUGGUCAGUUUUCGCCCCCAGCACUACGGAGAUUAAAC
Molecule: unclassified non-coding RNA, 141 nt
Filed under: uncultured fungus
Lineage: Eukaryota; Fungi
Description: sequence contains ITS1
Source: RNAcentral